UCCCCUCUACACAGAACACUUUCACUGUUGUUACAGGAUUAAAAUGUGCCUAGCCUGACAAUGAAAUAGCAGAGCCAUCGCACAUUGUUAUGCAACUCACUGUCUGCAAGGGUGGCUUGUAGCUCCUUCUUUAUUCAGCAAGUGCCAAGUGCAUGUUUAAUCAAUGUCACAGCUCACUACAGUAUGCAACUAAAGCCACUGUCAUUCUGCUCCUCGGAUCUGACUGGCUACUAAGUUAUGCAAUGCUCGGAAGAAUACCUUGGAAUUAUUUUCAGAGGCUUUGAAGCAGGUGUGUUACAAUGCUAACACCACUGCCAAUCAACCAGAUUGUUUUCAUUGUUUUUCAAAGCCUGGACUAAAAUUACAUGGUGUAAUUGAGCACAGUUGACUGCAUCUGGAAUUACAGCAUGUCAACGUGAGAAAGCAUCUUCACGUGGCUGGCAAGUAGUAGUGUAGAUAAAGGCUCAUUUUUUAAAGGAAAGUCUCAAGAAAAAACAACAUAUACUGAAGAAAAGCAGGAGCUAUGCUUAUUUUUUAAAAGCAAAGCCAAGCGGCACGCAGUAUGUAUUGUACAUAAAAUGCAUGUUGCCUAAGAAAAAACUCAAGUUAAUGAGAAUUAAUGUACAGCAUGGAUCAAUCCUAAGAAGGGUUUUUUGUUUUUAAACUGCACUUGACUUCAGUGGAUUACUGGAAGAUAAGCCCAGUCAGUUGGAAGAUUUUGUAUCACCGCCACCUGCACUGUUUAACUUUAUGUAUAAAAAAAUUCUUCAUGUUUGUAUAUGAUCUCUUUCUCUGAAAGAAGAGAGCAGCUCUCCAUGAAGAUAAAAGGCUGGUUCACCACUGAAUCGACGAGUAAGAAGCAUGUCUGAUGACAUUUUCUUCCUGAUGCAAUGUAGGCUAGCUAUCAGAACACUGGUGAAGAUACUUGCAGGAAAAAUGGGGACCUCAGCCAUCACAACAUUAGAAGAUGUAAAAAGGCAAGAGGAGAAUGAGGAAAAAGAAGAAUCUAUUUUAGCUAUGCUGGGGAUAAUUGGAACAGUGCUCAAUCUCUUUGUGAUUAUUUUUGUAUACAUCUACACUACACUCUGAUGACAUUUUUUCAGCAUCAGCUGUACAGUAUACUGUGCAAAGACUAGUCAUGACAAAAAUGAUUUUUAAAUGCAAAGCAAUAGGAAACAGCCUAAAAAAGAUUAUUGAAUACAUUCCAGAGCAAAGUGUCCGUCUAAGGAUGCUGCAUCAGUGACUGAAAUGCAUCUGUGAGCCCAGUCAGGACUACUACAUUAUGUAAAUGGAGACAGACAGUAUUCAGCUUCUCAUUGAUAAUGGCUAGAGCUCAAACACUGGAAAUACAGACAGUAUUGUUUUACUGCCAAUGAAUAUGCAAGACACAAGCAGUGUAAGCAGAUUAAAAACA
Gavialis gangeticus (Gharial) is the source of this 1414-nucleotide long non-coding RNA. RefSeq lists it as uncharacterized. The transcript has 2 exons. Lineage: Eukaryota; Metazoa; Chordata; Crocodylia; Gavialidae. The record is from RefSeq and is a predicted model, not a curated record.